RNAcentral lists this non-coding RNA (21 nucleotides) under Caenorhabditis elegans. The record is from RNAcentral. Lineage: Eukaryota; Metazoa; Nematoda; Chromadorea; Rhabditida; Rhabditidae.
UGCAUUCCACUUUCAAGCACC